Molecule: unclassified non-coding RNA, 981 nt
Filed under: Hevea brasiliensis (rubber tree)
Lineage: Eukaryota; Viridiplantae; Streptophyta; Magnoliopsida; Malpighiales; Euphorbiaceae
Source: RNAcentral
GAAGAAUUUGAGUUUCAAAUUUCUAGUUCAGUGGGAAAACAAUUUGAUAAGAUCAUUAUUGAAGGUGAAGGUGGUGAAGGAGUAGAAGGGGUUGAUGCGAUCCAAAGUGGCCAUGUUAGUGAUCCUGGAAUUGGUAAAGCAGUAUCUUGGGCAUCACCUAAACUUAAACGCUCCUGCUCUAAUUUGGAAACCAGGGAUGUGCACAGAAAUUUAUCUCAUCAGUUGCCUCCUCAAAAGUCUCAGUCUUUCGAAAAACUGCAAGAAUUGGCAGACGAAAUGAGGGGCUAUGUUGAUCCAGGCAGUCCAGAGUCUAUUAUGACCCAUCGCAGUGCUGAUAAAGUCAUGUUGAAGAAGCGUUCUUCGAGCCAGAUUCUUCCUUCCAGAAGUAGAAGGUUGUGGUGGAAGUUGUUCCUGUGGAGCCAUAGGAACCUGCAAAAGCCGUGGACUACCAAGGCUCCUCCCGCCAGCUCUGCUUUCAACCAGCAAGGUGGGUAUUGCUCUGACAAUUUUGAGCCGAACAGAGCAGCAGGGAAAAGUAUGAUGGAAUCACCUGGAUCAUUUACUGAGGAAACCUGGACCAAAGGGCCGAGUAACAAGAAAAGCGAUGAUCAGGAUCAGGAGAAUUUGUGUAAUGGAGUCUCAGGUUUAUGGCCACAAAAUCAGUGGGUUGCAUUUUCAGCAGAAUCGUCUUCCCUAAGAAGAGUGGAUGAGUGGGUGAAGGAUCUUCGGAUCGAACCGUGUCUUUCAAUCGAUGAGGUUGGGGGUGACAAUGAUCCAGAUACUUUCUUCCCACCCUCUCCCGAGAGGACUGCAACUCAUACGCCCCGACGUGGAGAACCCAAUCUGACCGAAGAGAUUUUGUAUGCGAAUAGCGUCAUCCAGUCGUUGAAUUCUUCCUCGACCGUGGCUCACAUCUCUGGUAUUGGCUUAAAAGCCAUACCCACAAUCUCACACCUAUCCGGUCUUAGAUCUGUCAAUUUG